AAAGAAAUUAAAAAUCCUACACAUAAAUGUCUUACUUUUAAAAUUAAAGGUUGGGUCUCAGCCAUACUCUAAAAACUAGAAUACUUGGGUCUAUGAAAGGAAAAUAAAAACUAGAACUCACUGACAAAAUAGUGAUAAAGUUGCAAUGCCCUUUUGGUAACUCAAGACCAAAAAUCAAAUGAGGCUAGAAUCAGGAAGAAAAUAGGGAAGUGACUGUAUAACAAAGUACCUGAACUUCUGCUUAAGAAAAAGGACAUAAUCAGGCAAAAAGCUAUGCAUGUGAAGAAUGGGAAAGUAAUAUGGCAGGAAUGGAAAUGGCUAUUAGCAAAGGAAGGUGGCAUUGUGGGUGAUAGUUUUCUGUUUUGCAAAUUUCUCUUUAACGAUGUUGUUACACUGGGUUUUCAUUUUUUUAAAAAAGGACAAAAAAAAAAAAAAAAAGCCUAACAGUACAGGAAAACACACCGUGGGAACAGAGUCAAGCACACAGAUGUUUUGCGUAAGCUGCAUUUUCAGAGACAUCUGCCUUUGUGCAAGACUUGAAAAAGUAAAGCUGUUGUCAACAAGUUCUCCAAAGUGAGGGGUGGGGCCUGAGAGAAAGUGAGCUGUGAAGAAACCAACAAUUAGAACCCUGAGGGCUGAGAAACACAUAGUUUCUUAGACUAAGUUCCUCAUUUAUGAGCCACCUCUCUGCCCAAAAUGCUUUGCCAUCAGCAAUGUCUCCUACUGAAACAAAGAGGACUCAAGCUGCCCAUGUCUCUACUCAAGUGACUGAGGUUCUCUGUUAGCAGUGCCACUCAGCUCUUUGCAGUGGUUGCCUAACUCUGUGGUAGGAGAGAUAAGGCAGAGUCUCCUAUGUAAAAAUCUGAGCGGGAAGCAAGAUGCCCCACUCCUCCUUUCUUGUUCCAACUCCAAAUAAAAACACUUAUUAUGUAUGAAAAAAUUCAUGUAAAAGCAAAGACAAUAAAUACGUUCAUCUGUU
This is a long non-coding RNA of Lynx canadensis (Canada lynx), 979 nucleotides long. RefSeq lists it as uncharacterized. Lineage: Eukaryota; Metazoa; Chordata; Mammalia; Carnivora; Felidae. The transcript is spliced from 2 exons. The record is from RefSeq and is a predicted model, not a curated record.